GGGCCCGCACAAGCGGUGGAGUAUGUGGUUUAAUUCGAUGCAACGCGAAGAACCUUACCAGGGUUUGACAUCCUGCGAAUCUCUUGGAAACAGGAGAGUGCCUUCGGGAACGCAGUGACAGGUGGUGCAUGGCUGUCGUCAGCUCGUGUCGUGAGAUGUUGGGUUAAGUCCCGCAACGAGCGCAACCCACGUCUUUAGUUGCCAGCAUUUAGUUGGGCACUCUAGAGAGACUGCCGGUGAUAAACCGGAGGAAGGCGGGGACGACGUCAAGUCAUCAUGGCCCUUACGACCAGGGCUACACACGUGCUACAAUGGUAGGUACAGAGGGCAGCUACACAGCGAUGUGAUGCGAAUCUCAAAAAGCCUAUCGUAGUCCAGAUUGGAGUCUGCAACUCGACUCCAUGAAGUAGGAAUCGCUAGUAAUCGCGGAUC
Molecule: ribosomal RNA, 432 nt
Filed under: uncultured bacterium
Lineage: Bacteria
Description: bacterial SSU rRNA
Rfam family: Bacterial small subunit ribosomal RNA
Source: RNAcentral